Molecule: long non-coding RNA, 388 nt
Filed under: Homo sapiens (human)
Lineage: Eukaryota; Metazoa; Chordata; Mammalia; Primates; Hominidae
Description: RCAN3 antisense RNA
Source: RNAcentral
GAGCUAGCACAAGAGGCCAACCUGCAUGGACUGCUUCCACAGAUCCCUUGUCCUCUGACUUACAGUUGAAUUCACCAAAUAGAAGACAUUGGAAAUGAGACCCGAGGGUUGGAGGAGGAGGAAGCCUGCAAUGUGAACACGAUGGCUGGAGCUCCGGCAGCCAUUCUGGACCAGGAGGUAGCCUUGAAGAUGGAAGCCACAUGUUGGGAUGGUGAAUCCAAAAGAUGAGGAGCCUGUAUCCCCUGUGACACCAGAACUGCCAUACCAGCCCUGGGUUCCUCCAUCUAUACUGCCUUCAUAUGGUAAAGAAAUAUUCUUGGAUCUUGUUAGGUGUCUGUUGCAGCCAAACACAAUCCCAACUGAUAUUCACUGUAAAUGAUUCCAUGGC